CAUUAAGAAGCUAUGGACCAGCAUUAGCCUUUUAAGCUAAAGAAAGAGGGGCCUCUCCCCUCCUUAAUGA
This 70-nucleotide transfer RNA is filed under the name Sporophila maximiliani (Great-billed seed-finch). RNAcentral's name for it is "tRNA-Lys". The record is from RNAcentral. Lineage: Eukaryota; Metazoa; Chordata; Aves; Passeriformes; Thraupidae.